UUAAAAUUGAUUGUUAUGUUCUGUAAUUGUUGUUAAUAAAUCUUUCAGAAGAAAGUGUGUAAAAGUUUGACUACAGUAACCAUAUCUAACCAAGCUUCAUGUACCAAGAUAAUUAUUUCAUUUAUUUCUCAUCAGAUCAACUGUUCAUUUAUGCAGUUUAUGCUUUAUUUAUAGGUAGCAUAACUGUUACCUUUUUGUUUACAGUUCUGCAUAUAUAAUAUGACAAACCUAGGAGACUUUGCUGUAAGAGAAUUAAUCAUGUUUUUGUUUUCUUUUCUCAGGUCCGGUCAGUACCCACCACCCUUCCCUGUUCACCCACAGUUUAUACUUUUUCUUAGAAAACCAACGGCUCUUUUAAGAGCCACUUCAAUAGACCCUUUUACAGCCCACGUGAUCAAAUAGCCUGCGUGCGCAUUUUGGCAACGGAAGUGAUGUUAUUUCCCAGUGGUUCUAACGUGUAAGCAACUCAGAAAGUUUAUUAAAACGAUUUCCCCACAUCAAAACGUCUGGUUGUAGCAUUUGGUUGCACUAAUAUAAUAUAUGUUUAGUAUUUGGCCAUCUUCUAACGUCUUCUAUCCACUCCACUAUAGUACACGGAUCUGGUAACUGUGUAGAAAAUAAGUCAACUUUUUAAACUAACUUUCUCUGUCUGUGUUGCUUCACUGCUGAUUCUUGCUGUGCUUCCGUUGCCAAACUGCGUGCGCAUACGUUGCCACGUCAUCAUUGUGUACAAACAGUAAAAGGGUCACUCACUCACUCUUUCGCAAGCUUCUCUGUUUUCAAGUAUUGUAAUUUUAUUCAUUUUACUCUCUCUCUCACUGUCCAAAACACUUAGCCUAUGCCUCUUUGUCUGACCAAUGUAGUAUUGUUGAAAUGGCUGCUGAGCAAGACAGAGGGAGAGCAAAGGGUGUUAUUUUCAUAGCAGACAUGCUUCUUGCUCAAAUCAAGGCAGAGGAACCCAAGGGCAAAGCAACAGCCAUUAAAGGGAGUACAUUUAAUGUCCGAUAGGUGGAGAAAAUGCUGAAGGACGUCCACUACUAAAAAGCAGCAGAAGUGAAGAGAUACAAAGCUUCAGCUACAGUCUGUUUAUUGCCUACAGUGAGACCUCCACAUUUCUGCAAUUGUGAUCAUGCAAACAUCCAGUGUAGAGCACUUCACCUGCCCGGCAUGUACACCCAACAAUGCUCGCUCUUUGUGCAGAUGGCAACAGAAAAACCUACAGAUUCCGUCAGUCAAAAGAAAGGAGCUUUAAGCAGCCACAAACGGAGAGUUCUUUUGAACAGAUAUUGCUUGCAAGUAUUGGCCAUACCUUGAGAAGGCGUCAGUCUCCGUGUUGGAACUCAGACCUUUACUGCAGAUGAGACCUUUCCUUUCUGUCAUGCAUGCCAAGGCUCAUUCAACCAAGUGUCAGGUAAUGCAUAUUCUUUAUCGUACCAUUUGAAACUGUAUUUGUAUUACUUAUUAAUACACUGUAACUGUUUAUGGUUGUAAUAUAGGUGUCACACAUUUGUUAGAUAAUCUGGCAAAAAUCAGGAAGGUGCUGGUACAACUGCAGUUGAGGAGGUCAAAAUGGUCAACAGCUACCUGUCUCGUUGUGGCCUCACAACCAAGUAUCUAAUUGAUGCCUAUUUAUAAUAUUUUAGGAAACCUGUCUUUAUUUUUUCACUUUUUUAUUCUUUCUGUCUAGUACUUUGAGAUUGCAUAAGAGUAAGCUGUAACUGUUCAAAGUACAUAAAAAUUGGCAUGUAGUUCUCUCUUAAAUUUUAAACUCAAUUGUCAGUUUCUGGAUUAAUUGAAAUACGACAAGCAUUAAUGGGACCUUUCUUCCUUCAUCACAUACAUGUCUUGUUAAUAGCCAGGAAUGACAUGCUAACUGUCCAUGCUAUUGGGUGGAACCAACGGAAGCAAGAAGGCCUUCAGCAUUAUCCAGCAGAUACAUCAAGAGACGGGAAGAUUUGAGCAGUGAACUGGGGUGUCCUGAGAACAUUGUGAAUCAGUGGGUACAAGAUGUCAGACAAAAGGCUACUGAUGGAUUUGGUAGGUACCAGAUGUGAUGACCUACACAACCUUCAGAAAUGAAUUGAACAAAUGUUUCUUAGUCUUCAUCGAAAAGCCAGCCUUUAUAAUCACACUGAAUCUAGCAACACCCUCACCAAGAAGAUUUCAAAAGUGCGCCUUCAAGAAGCAAAGAUCAUUGUGAUGAGGGAGAUGAGACACCACUGCACCGCACCUAUCUCAGAAGCCUGGCUAGGAACAUCAGGAAAAUGAUAUCAGAAAUGUCUUCAGGCAAAAACAGUGGCAGUUUAAGUGAAGAGUGUCAUCGCUGGCUACUGUGUCGUCUUCAGAAAAGGCUUGCAGAUGUAGAGAAGAAGUUCCAAGUUUGCUCAAGUUACAGCCAGGCUUUAGGACAGUGUUCUUCACUCCCAACCCCGGAGAGCCGGUGUCCUGCAGACUUUAGCUCCAACGUUAAUCGAACACACCUGAAAGCUAAUCAAUGUCUUCAUGAUCUCUAGAAAAUCACAGGUAUGCGUGUUUGAUUAAGGUUGGAGCUAAGCUCUGCAGGACACCAGCUCUCCAGGAUUGGGAGUGAAGAACACUGCUUUAGGACCAAAUGCUGUUUCUCUGCUGGAGGAUGAGCCUGAGGAGAUACUGGAGGACCACAAAGAGCUGGAUUAUGAGAGUUCAGAUGACAUUUUGGAUUUGGAACUCUGAACUGGUGUAUGCAUUUAGACUGUGUGUCACACUGAACUGCAGCAGGUUAGCUAUUAGGUUUCCCCUCCACCUCCGAUGUUUCACAGACUACUCCUACAGUCAACUGUGUUGCUACAACUUGCAAAUGCCACAUUUCUUUUGCAGUGGUUACUUCACCAAACUGUGCCCUUAUCAUCUUGUCAACAUAAUGACAUUUACUGUAGAAAAAUGUGCAAAUCUAUUUUGCCUGUGUUACAUAUGUUACUAUUAUUGUUGUAUAGUUUUAUACUGUAUCAAGUUUUUUUUCACAGUGAUGGUGGAUACUUUUGGAGUGAACUAACUGUAUGUCAUUAGAUGAAAUACUUUACAUAAAUGACUGAUCAAUAGCCUACCCAUAUUUGAUGCAUGAGUUAAUACUGUUGUUACCUUUUCAAUGAAAGGAAAUGUUUUACAAUGCCAUUUUCUUGAGGUAACUAUUAAACUGUUUCAUAUAUGUACCUGCAAAAUUGUUUACUUUUCCCUGUUUUGAAAAUGAGAUGUAAAACUGCUUUAUUUAUUUAUGCCUUAAAAAUAUAUGAUAGUUUAAUACAGGGUAAAUAAUAAAAACUUGUUAAUUAGUAUAUACAGUUGUGUUGUAUUAUUUAUGGCAUAGUUGUUAUAAUUAAUACAAGUUUUUCAUUACACUGCUGCAUAACUUUGCUCUAGAUAAUAGUAGGGUAUUAACACUAGACAGUUCAAAGAUGAUUAACUUUUAAGUUAUGUAUACUAUCAAUACAUAUAUUUACAUAUAGUAUGUGUGAAUGCUUUUGGUCUUUGAUUAAAUGCUUGUCAGCACGGGAAAGUGCUUUGUAAAUAAAGUUAUUUUUAUU
Non-coding RNA from Misgurnus anguillicaudatus (oriental weatherfish), 3560 nucleotides. The record is from RefSeq and is a predicted model, not a curated record. Lineage: Eukaryota; Metazoa; Chordata; Actinopteri; Cypriniformes; Cobitidae.